AAGAGUUUAUGGUCUCAAUCGCUAGUUUUAAGUCUUCUGCAACACAGAAUGAUGUUCAUUUUUUGACUUAUGGUCUCGUUGAUUUUAAAAUCGGCGAUAAAGCAGGGGGUGUUUUAGGGCGUGGCUAUGAUGUGAUUGACACUUCGCGGCCUGUCAAUCAUGACAGGUUUAGCAAAGCUUAUCCAUGGCACGUAAACUUCAUUUUGGGGGUUGACUACGGUUUCAUCAUAGUGACUGUGACACUUUGGUCGGCUAAUAAUGUCUUGUUCAGCGUUCGGUUACGACAUGACACUCAAAGGAGUCGGCAGUUCAGUUUUUCCGAUUUCCUUCUGAUGAUGCCAGGCUGAAGCAAUGGUUGGUCAACAUGAGGAGAGAGACCAGCAAAUGGAACCCCGAAAAGUCACGUCUGUGCAGUUCACACUUUGAGGAAGAUCAGUUUUUCAGAGACAAGCAGGUAUCCACACUGAAAACUGAAUGACCAGAGCCUACAGAAGGA
This is a long non-coding RNA of Sander lucioperca (pikeperch), 496 nucleotides long. RefSeq lists it as uncharacterized. The record is from RefSeq and is a predicted model, not a curated record. NCBI's taxonomy places the organism in Eukaryota, Metazoa, Chordata, Actinopteri, Perciformes, Percidae. The transcript has 3 exons.